GUAGGUGGCAAGCGUUGUCCGGAAUUAUUGGGCGUAAAGCGCGCGCAGGCGGUUCUUUAAGUCUGAUGUGAAAGCCCACGGCUCAACCGUGGAGGGUCAUUGGAAACUGGAGAACUUGAGUACAGAAGAGGAAAGCGGAAUUCCACGUGUAGCGGUGAAAUGCGUAGAGAUGUGGAGGAACAGCAGUGGCGAAGGCGGCUUUCUGGUCUGUAACUGACGCUGAGGCGCGAAAGCGUGGGGGAGCAAACAGGAUUAGAUACCCUGGUAGUCCACGCCGUAAACGAUGAGUGCUAAGUGUUAGGGGGUUUUCCGCCCCUUAGUGCUGCAGCUAACGCAUUAAGCACUCCGCCUGGGAGUACGGCCGCAAGGCUG
Molecule: ribosomal RNA, 372 nt
Filed under: uncultured organism
Description: partial 16S ribosomal RNA
Rfam family: Bacterial small subunit ribosomal RNA
Source: RNAcentral